RNAcentral lists this ribosomal RNA (253 nucleotides) under uncultured bacterium. RNAcentral describes it as "partial 16S ribosomal RNA". It matches the Rfam family "Bacterial small subunit ribosomal RNA", at positions 524 to 776 of the family's 1533-position model. The record is from RNAcentral.
UCCGUAGGGUGCAAGCGUUAAUCGGAAUUACUGGGCGUAAAGCGUGCGCAGGCGGUGAUGUAAGGCAGGUGUGAAAUCCCCGGGCUUAACCUGGGAACUGCAUUUGUGACUGCAUCGCUGGAGUGCGGCAGAGGGGGAUGGAAUUCCGCGUGUAGCAGUGAAAUGCGUAGAUAUGCGGAGGAACACCGAUGGCGAAGGCAAUCCCCUGGGCCUGCACUGACGCUCAUGCACGAAAGCGUGGGGAGCAAACGGG